This 253-nucleotide ribosomal RNA is filed under the name uncultured bacterium. Its description in RNAcentral is "partial 16S ribosomal RNA". It matches the Rfam family "Bacterial small subunit ribosomal RNA", at positions 524 to 776 of the family's 1533-position model. The record is from RNAcentral.
GACAGAGGCCCCGAGCGUUAGGCGGAAUCACUGGGCUUAAAGCGUGUGUAGGCGGACCCCUAAGUGUCUUGUGAAAUCCCACGGCUCACCCGUGGAACCGCUGGGCAUACUGGGGGUCUUGGGCCGUUCAGGGGCGACUGGAACAAGCGGUGAAGCGGUGAAAUGCGUAGAUAUCGCUUGGAACGCCGAAGGUGAAAACAGGUCGCUGGGGACGCGCCGACGCUGAGACACGAAAGCCAGGGGAGCAAACGGG